CGGAAUAGCUCAGCUCGGUAGAGCAGCGCAUUCGUAAUGCGUUGGUCGGAGGUUCGAAUCCUCUUUCCGG
RNAcentral lists this transfer RNA (70 nucleotides) under marine eukaryotic metagenome. It matches the Rfam family "tRNA". From Rfam's summary of the family: Transfer RNA (tRNA) molecules are approximately 80 nucleotides in length. The record is from RNAcentral.